CCUACGGGAGGCAGCAGUCGGGAAUUUUGGGCAAUGGGCGCAAGCCUGACCCAGCAACGCCGCGUGAAGGAUGAAAUCCCUCGGGAUGUAAACUUCGCAAGAACGGGAAGAAUAAGUGGGGGUUAAUAUCUCUCACGAUGACGGUACUGUUUGUAAGCUCCGGCUAACUCCGUGCCAGCAGCCGCGGUAAUACGGGGGGAGCAAGCGUUGUUCGGAUUUACUGGGCGUAAAGGGCGCGUAGGCGGCCACCGCAAGUCGAUUGUGAAAUCUCCGGGCUUAACCCGGAAAGGUCAACCGAUACUGCGGGGCUAGAGUGCAGAAGGGGCAACUGGAAUUCUCGGUGUAGCGGUGAAAUGCGUAGAUAUCGAGAGGAACACCUGCGGCGAAGGCGGGUUGCUGGGCUGACACUGACGCUGAGGCGCGAAAGCUAGGGGAGCGAACGGGAUUAGAUACCCCGGUAGUCCUAGCCUUAAACGAUGAAUGCUUGGUGUCUGGGGUUUUAUAGUCCCCGGGUGCCGUCGCUAACGCUUUAAGCAUUCCGCCUGGGGAGUACGGUCGCAAGACUGAAACUCAAAGGAAUUGACGG
RNAcentral lists this ribosomal RNA (586 nucleotides) under uncultured bacterium. Its description in RNAcentral is "bacterial SSU rRNA". It matches the Rfam family "Bacterial small subunit ribosomal RNA", at positions 338 to 916 of the family's 1533-position model. The record is from RNAcentral.